GGAUGUGAGGACAAUCUGGCUUCCACAUCUGUCACCCCAUUGAUUCAGCUGAUCCGCCUGGUUAGGCGGGUGCCCCCUUCCUUCCUCACCACUCCAUGUCCUUCCCGAAGCUGCAUGCUCAGUCCAAGAGGAUGACCUUCCCCAAAUAGAGGAGGACCAGUCUUCGGUGAAGGGUCUACAAGUAGCUGUGCUCCCCUGCUAGAACCUCCAAACAAGCUCUCAAGAAUGCACGAGUAACUAACACUAUGAAGAAGAAUGAGGACAUGACUAACUCAAGCUAGGAUGCUGGAAAGAGCACAUAAGAGGUUUCUGGGCUACUCU
This is an unclassified non-coding RNA of Cricetulus griseus (Chinese hamster), 321 nucleotides long. Its record names the gene 7SK. It matches the Rfam family "7SK RNA". Rfam says of the family: 7SK was discovered as an abundant small nuclear RNA in the mid-70s but a possible function has only recently been suggested. The record is from Ensembl. Lineage: Eukaryota; Metazoa; Chordata; Mammalia; Rodentia; Cricetidae.